Molecule: long non-coding RNA, 211 nt
Filed under: Mytilus galloprovincialis (Mediterranean mussel)
Lineage: Eukaryota; Metazoa; Mollusca; Bivalvia; Mytilida; Mytilidae
Source: RNAcentral
UGGGUUUCAGUCAUUGGCUCGUCCAAAUUAUUAAGACCAGGAGACCGAUGAAGGUCAAGAAGGGUCAUUCUACAACUGUGUCAGACGAAAGAGAAGUUCCAAGAAGUUGACGUGUUCUUUGAUGAAAGUCGACCACUCUCUCCGUUGUUGACCAAAGCUGUUUAGACCUAUCCCGUCUCUAGUCGCACAAGGGUCUGUUUGUGUGUGCCAG